CCUACGGGAGGCAGCAGUGAGGAAUAUUGGUCAAUGGCCGGAAGGCUGAACCAGCCAUGCCGCGUGAAGGUCAGUGCCCUAUGGGCGUUAAACUUCUUUUGUGCGGGAGCAAUAAUGGUCACGUGUGGCCAGACGAGAGUACCGUACGAAUAAGCAUCGGCUAACUCCGUGCCAGCAGCCGCGGUAAUACGGGGGGUGCAAGCGUUAUCCGGAUUUAUUGGGUUUAAAGGGUGAGUAGGCUGUGAGGUAAGUCAGCGGUGAAAUGCCCCCGCUCAACGGGGUGAAGUGCCAUUGAUACUGCCGUGCUGGAAGGCGGAUGCCGUGGGAGGAAGGUGUGGUGUAGCGGUGAAAUGCAUAGAUAUCACACAGAACACCGAUUGCGAAGGCAUCUCACGAAGCCGCGAUUGACGCUGAUGCACGAAAGCGUGGGUAUCAAACAGGAUUAGAUACCCGGGUAGUC
Molecule: ribosomal RNA, 460 nt
Filed under: uncultured bacterium
Lineage: Bacteria
Description: partial 16S ribosomal RNA
Rfam family: Bacterial small subunit ribosomal RNA
Source: RNAcentral